UAGAAAAUUUCGAUAUCAUAUUUUUAAGUUCAAAACAGUAAAAAGGAUCUGUUCCACAUAGGUAGACUCGACUCUAUGAGCUUCUAACAUCUGAGCACUCAAUUCACGGGGCCUUACACAAGGUCGAUGGCGCAUCCAAUGCAUCAGGAUCUGGAUUAACCUCGUACUCGAGGUCCCAACAGGAGAAGUCAUCUACCAAUUCAUACAGUGCCCUUAUAUGACUAACAAUGAGGCCAAGUACGAGGCCAUAAUUGUAGGACUAAAUCUAUCUCUCAAAUACGGAGCAGGAAGAGUCGUCCUCAGAAGCAACUCAUAACUCGUUGUCAACCAAGUCACCGGGACUUUCCAAAUCAAAGA
RNAcentral lists this long non-coding RNA (357 nucleotides) under Nicotiana benthamiana. RNAcentral's name for it is "long non-coding RNA (NBEN_LNC016416)". The record is from RNAcentral. Lineage: Eukaryota; Viridiplantae; Streptophyta; Magnoliopsida; Solanales; Solanaceae.